UACGUAGGGUGCAAGCGUUAAUCGGAAUUACUGGGCGUAAAGCGUGCGCAGGCGGUUCGUUAAGACAGAUGUGAAAUCCCCGGGCUUAACCUGGGAACUGCAUUUGUGACUGGCGAGCUAGAGUAUGACAGAGGGGGGUAGAAUUCCACGGUGUAGCAGUGAAAUGCGUAGAGAUGUGGAGGAAUACCGAUGGCGAAGGCAGCCCCCUGGGCCAAUACUGACGCUCAUGCACGAAAGGCGUGGGGACAACGAGGAUAGAAACC
RNAcentral lists this ribosomal RNA (263 nucleotides) under uncultured bacterium. RNAcentral's name for it is "partial 16S ribosomal RNA". It matches the Rfam family "Bacterial small subunit ribosomal RNA", at positions 524 to 786 of the family's 1533-position model. The record is from RNAcentral.